RNAcentral lists this long non-coding RNA (914 nucleotides) under Piliocolobus tephrosceles (Ugandan red Colobus). Its description in RNAcentral is "lncRNA (ENSPTEG00000020045.1)". Lineage: Eukaryota; Metazoa; Chordata; Mammalia; Primates; Cercopithecidae. The record is from RNAcentral.
CUCAAUUUUUUUUUAUUUUUUUUUUUUGAUUAAUUGUAGGGUAUUAACGCUUUAAAUUUAGAACCCGCUUUACCCAAAUUAGAUGAACAAACAAGAACAGAAUGGGUUAUGUUUAAAAAUAAGAAUAAAAAUAAAACAAACAAAAAAGAUAAGUCAACAGAUAAGCAAGAAUUUAUCACAGCUGCUAAAGCUUUCAAUGAAAAACUGGCAACUAAAAUUAGCUCUAAUAUAAAAGAUACUAAUACCAGAUCAAAUAAUUAUUCGGGGAUGAUAAACCGAUCAAAUAAAGACAACCAAAAGAAAAAAGGAAAAUAUAACAACACACAUGAAACAGAUAUAAAUAAGAGCAACAAUAAUGGUAACAUGAUAAAUCAUAACGUAAAUGUGAGCGUAAAUAUGAAUACUAAUAUGAACGCUAAUAUGAAUAUAAAUAGAGAUGCUAAUAUAGAUACAAAUUAUAACGCAAAUUACAUGUUAAAUAAUUCUAACAUGCGACCAUAUUAUUCUUAUUAUGUAAAUUUUAACAAUAUAAAAAAUAAUAUUCCUGGUCAUAACAUGGAUUAUUGCCAAAAUAUAAACAUGAUAUCAGACCCACAAAAUCAAAUGUACCCAUGUGCUGAUUCACGUUUGCACAAAAAUACAGGAAUUCCACCAUUAUAUCAAAAUAUUAAUGUAGACAUGAUUAUCAAUAAAAUGCAAAAUUCAAUGAACCCGUCUGUUAAAAACCAUAAUUAUACAAAAUCUCAAAAUGAGCUAAGUCCUUUUGCAGUUGUAAGUUCAAAUUACCCAUCUGUGCAAAACCGUAUGUAAAAUUAUAUGAACACAUAUUUUUCCCAUUUUUUUUUUUUUUAUAUAUAUAAAAAUUUUGUUCAGAGCACUCCCAAACCAAAAAAAUCUUUUGAAACAUUAAUGAA